Long non-coding RNA from Ctenopharyngodon idella (grass carp), 717 nucleotides. RefSeq lists it as uncharacterized. The transcript is spliced from 4 exons. The record is from RefSeq and is a predicted model, not a curated record. NCBI's taxonomy places the organism in Eukaryota, Metazoa, Chordata, Actinopteri, Cypriniformes, Xenocyprididae.
GUCACAAAACAUUGAAAACCUCACAGUAAAUUUUUACUUACAGGUACUUCUGGCGUGAGACGGGAAAAUCCAGUCUUGAGUCUUGUACCAAAUCAAUGUACAUCUGUAGAAAAGGCAAUUCUAGAAACACUAGAGAAAAUGGACCUGAAGAUCAACCACCUGACUUCACUGGUCCAGUCUCUAGUGGGAAACAGGCGCUUUUUACCCCCAGUGGCAGUGCAAAAUGAUGAAGAAGAUGGCAUCUUUCCGCUUGCAUCCACUGAGGAUCUAGACCGGCUGGAACAAAGUCUGUCAGACAGAGGGUUUCUGCAGAGAAUGGUGAACAGAUUAUCCAUCAGCGGCGGGCCAACAAUGAAGAAGACCGUCUGGAGAAUCUGCUCCAAGGUCUUCAGCACUAAUGUCGCCCGCCAACUGAACUGGUGUGGGAGAGGAGACGAGCGGGGGAUCAGAAAGACAAACAUCGGGUCACUGUUAACCGCUUCAGCCAUGAGGAAUCCCGUCCUGCCGUCUCCAACGGAAGCAGAGGCGGAGAAAUUUAUCAAAGAUUUCCAACACUUGACUCCAGGGAGGGUGUAAUUGUUUAUUUAAAUUAAAUGUAUGUUAUUAAAGUGUAUUGUUUUGUUAAAAUAUAUGUUAUGGAGUUGUGUUAAUAUGGAUUUUUAUAAUUAAUUAAAAGUUGUAAUUGAUAUAAUAAAUUAGAAAUACGUUUUUUGCCUA